RNAcentral lists this ribosomal RNA (120 nucleotides) under uncultured bacterium. Its description in RNAcentral is "partial 16S ribosomal RNA". It matches the Rfam family "Bacterial small subunit ribosomal RNA", at positions 30 to 143 of the family's 1533-position model. The record is from RNAcentral.
AUUGAACGCUGGCGGCAGGCCUAACACAUGCAAGUCGAGCGGUAGCACAGAGAGCUUGCUCUCGGGUGACGAGCGGCGGACGGGUGAGUAAUGUCUGGGAAACUGCCUGAUGGAGGGGGA